UAUCAUUGAAUAUCAUUGUACCCAUUGUGUAAAUACAUGUGUACACUUUGCGUACAUCAUUGAUUGAAUAUCAUUGUUUAUCAUUGAAUAUCAUUGUACCCAUUGUGUAUUAAUUGUUCAAUAUACACUUUGCGUACAUCAUUGAAUUGAUACUUUAUGUACAUCAUUGUAGAGAUACCUUGUGUACAUCAUUGUAUUUAUUGUAUUGAUUUGACUAUUGAGUAUAUUGAUGAUUGAUUUUGACUAUUGAUUUAUUGAUGAUUGAUUUGACUAUUAAUCAAUAAAGCCAUGACAAAAACUGCCAAUCACUCUUAAUCUAUUUUGUCGACAUAAUCCGACUUAACUCAAUAUGAGUUAAGUCCCGUUAUGGAGACAAAUAGAGAUAAAAGGUUCAGGGAAGAUAACUCUCACUCAAAUGCACUGACUUCAUUUAGUCACAUCAUUACGCAUGUGCAUUUGCUCUUCCUUUCCAUCUUCCGUCAGCCAUUGAAACUCAGCAUCCCACCCACCUCUCCCAAUUUACAAGAUUUUUAUGAAUUGUUCUUUUUUGACAACAAAAUUUUGCUGCUGUCUUUGAUUUCCUUUUUCAGUUACCAUCCAUGCUUUUGGCUUCCCAUUCCUUUGACCACCAGCAGAAGAAUCCAUUACAUCCAUUCCCUUGUCCUCAAACAGAAGAAUCCAUUUCCGCCGUCCUUGGCUUCCAGCGAUAGGAACCAUAACCUCAGUUCCCUUGGAUACCAAAAGAACCUAUUAGCGUCAUGGCUUUAUUACGACUCAUUGAAAUGCAAAGUAUAUGGUAUUCUUACAGACUGUUUUUUAAUGCUGAAUCGAAUUUUGCUAGAAGCUCGCUGCUGAUCCUGUUAUCUUCCAGGUCCAGUGGCCAAUAAUUGAGCUUCCGUCAUUGUGCCAUUGCUAUUGAUUCUACGUCAUAUACUAUUGAUAAAGUCGACGUAGACCAUUGUCUUUGUAAUACAUUGCUACCUGAUCAUUGCAAUUCAUUUAUCAUUGAAUAUCAUUGUAUAUCAUUGAAUAUCAUCGCAUAUUAUUGCAUAAUAUUGCAUAUCAUUGAAUAUCAUUGUACCCAUUGUGUAAAUACAUGUGUACACUUUGCGUACAUCAUUGAUUGAAUAUCAUUGUUUAUCAUUGAAUAUCAUUGUACCCAUUGUGUAUUAAUUGUUCAAUAUACACUUUGCGUACAUCAUUGAAUUGAUACUUUAUGUACAUCAUUGUAGAGAUACCUUGUGUACAUCAUUGUAUUUAUUGUAUUGAUUUGACUAUUGAGUAUAUUGAUGAUUGAUUUUGACUAUUGAUUUAUUGAUGAUUGAUUUGACUAUUAAUCAAUAAAGCCAUGACAAAAACUGCCAA
Molecule: long non-coding RNA, 1365 nt
Organism: Saccostrea cuccullata (small rock oyster)
Lineage: Eukaryota; Metazoa; Mollusca; Bivalvia; Ostreida; Ostreidae
Exons: 2
Source: RefSeq, a predicted model, not a curated record